RNAcentral lists this ribosomal RNA (292 nucleotides) under uncultured bacterium. Its description in RNAcentral is "partial 16S ribosomal RNA". It matches the Rfam family "Bacterial small subunit ribosomal RNA", at positions 505 to 796 of the family's 1533-position model. The record is from RNAcentral.
GUGCCAGCAGCCGCGGUAAUACAGAGGCCUCGAGCGUUAGGCGGAAUCACUGGGCUUAAAGCGUGUGUAGGCGGAUUGCUAAGUACCUUGUGAAAUCCCACGGCUUAACCGUGGAACUGCUUGGUAUACUGGCUGUCUUGAGCCACUUAGGGGCGACCGGAACAAACGGUGGAGCGGUGAAAUGCGUAGAUAUCGUUUGGAACGCCAAAGGUGAAAACAGGUCGCUGGGAGUGUGCUGACGCUGAGACACGAAAGCCAGGGGAGCAAACGGGAUUAGAUACCCCCGUAGUCC